CGGAUAGUCGCCUAAUCUGGUAUGGCACUUGCUUUGGAUGCAAGAAUGAUUGAAGGUUCAAAUCCUUCCUAUCCGA
This 76-nucleotide transfer RNA is filed under the name Caudoviricetes sp. RNAcentral's name for it is "tRNA-Pro". It matches the Rfam family "tRNA". Rfam says of the family: Transfer RNA (tRNA) molecules are approximately 80 nucleotides in length. The record is from RNAcentral. Lineage: Duplodnaviria; Heunggongvirae; Uroviricota; Caudoviricetes.